This 468-nucleotide ribosomal RNA is filed under the name uncultured bacterium. RNAcentral describes it as "partial 16S ribosomal RNA". It matches the Rfam family "Bacterial small subunit ribosomal RNA", at positions 28 to 507 of the family's 1533-position model. The record is from RNAcentral.
GACGAACGCUGGCGGCGUGCUUAACACAUGCAAGUCGAACGGAAAGUCCCUGCUUUUGUGGGUUGCUCGAGUGGCGAACGUGUGAGUAACACUUGAGUAACCUUCCCUUGACUUUGUUAUAACUUCAGGAAACUUUUGCUAAUACCGGAUAGGAUCUCCUGCUGCAUGGUGUGUGUUGGAAAUUUUCGGCGGUUGGGGAUGGACUCGCGGCUUAUCAUCUUGUUGGUGGGGUAGUGGCUUACCAAGGCUUUGACGGGUAGCCGGCCUGAGAGGGUGACCGGCGACAAUGGGACUGAGAGAAGGAACAGAAGACUACGGGAGGCAGCAGGGGGGAAUAUUGCACAAUGGGAGGAAGCAUGAUGAAGAAAAGCAGCGAGAGGGAUGACGGCCUUCGGGGUGUAAAAAGAUGUAGAAUGUGAAGAAGAGUGAGUGACGGUAAUGGGUAAAGAAGCAACGGCUAACUACGUG